Molecule: ribosomal RNA, 253 nt
Filed under: uncultured bacterium
Lineage: Bacteria
Description: partial 16S ribosomal RNA
Rfam family: Bacterial small subunit ribosomal RNA
Source: RNAcentral
UACAGAGGUCUCAAGCGUUGUUCGGAUUCAUUGGGCGUAAAGGGUGCGUAGGCGGCGCGGUAAGUCGGGUGUGAAAUCUUGGAGCUUAACUCCGAAACUGCAUUCGAUACUGCCGUGCUUGAGGACUGGAGAGGAGACUGGAAUUUACGGUGUAGCAGUGAAAUGCGUAGAUAUCGAGAGGAACACCAGUGGCGAAGGCGAGUCCCUGGACAACUCCUGACGCUGAGGCACGAAAGCUAGGGGAGCAAACAGG